CUUAAGUGGGGAAUAACGCAUCGAAAGGUGUGCUAAUACCGCAUAAUCUCUGAGGAGAAAAGCAGGGGAUCGCAAGACCUUGCGCUUUUGGAGCGGCCGAUGUCUGAUUAGCUUGUUGGUAAGGUAAAAGCUUACCAAGGCUUCGAUCAGUAGCUGGUCUGAGAGGACGACCAGCCACACUGGGACUGAGACACGGCCCAGACUCCUACGGGAGGCAGCAGUGGGGAAUUUUGGACAAUGGGGGCAACCCUGAUCCAGCCAUGCCGCGUGAGUGAAGAAGGCCUUCGGGUUGUAAAGCUCUUUCAGCCGGAACGAAACGGUUACGGUUAAUACCCGUGACUACUGACGGUACCGGAAGAAGAAGCACCGGCUAACUACGUGCCAGCAGCCGCGGUAAUACGUAGGGUGCGAGCGUUAAUCGGAAUUACUGGGCGUAAAGCGUGCGCAGGUGGUUUUGUAAGUCAGAUGUGAAAUCCCCGGGCUCAACCUGGGAACUGCGUUUGAAACUACAAGGCUAGAGUGUGGCAGAGGGGGGUGGAAUUCCGCGUGUAGCAGUGAAAUGCGUAGAGAUGUGGAGGAACACCGAUGGCGAAGGCAGCCCCCUGGGUCAACACUGACGCUCAGGCACGAAAGCAUGGGGAGCAAACAGGAUUAGAUACCCUGGUAGUCCAUGCCCUAAACGAUGUCAACUAGUUGUCGGGCCUUAACGGGCUUGGUAACGUAGCUAACGCGUGAAGUUGACCGCCUGGGGAGUACGAUCGCAAGAUUAAAACUCAAAGGAAUUGACGGGGACCCGCACAAGCGGUGGAUUAUGUGGAUUAAUUCGAUGCAACGCGAAAAACCUUACCUACCCUUGACAUGUAUCGAAGCCCGCAGAAAAGCGGGGGUGCCCGAAAGGGAACGAUAACACAGGUGCUGCAUGGCUGUCGUCAGCUCGUGUCGUGAGAUGUUGGGUUAAGUCCCGCAACGAGCGCAACCCUUGUCAUUAAUUGCCAUCAUUUAGUUGGGCACUUUAAUGAGACUGCCGGUGACAAACCGGAGGAAGGUGGGGAUGACGUCAAGUCCUCAUGGCCCUUAUGGGUAGGGCUUCACACGUAA
RNAcentral lists this ribosomal RNA (1098 nucleotides) under uncultured ammonia-oxidizing bacterium. RNAcentral's name for it is "bacterial SSU rRNA". It matches the Rfam family "Bacterial small subunit ribosomal RNA", at positions 131 to 1225 of the family's 1533-position model. The record is from RNAcentral.